GGAAAUCUCACCAGGCCCGGACACUGGAAGGAUUGACAGAUUGAUAGCUCUUUCUUGAUUCGGUAGGUGGUGGUGCAUGGUUGUUCUUAGUUGGUUGAGUGAUUUGUCUUGUUAAUUCCGUUAACGAACGAGACCUUAACCUGCUAAAUAGUGACGCGGUUCAUCGAACCGUGGGCCACUUCUUAGAGGGACUAUCGGAUUCAAACCGAUGGAAGUGUGAGGCAAUAA
RNAcentral lists this ribosomal RNA (228 nucleotides) under uncultured eukaryote. RNAcentral describes it as "partial 18S ribosomal RNA". It matches the Rfam family "Eukaryotic small subunit ribosomal RNA", at positions 1208 to 1456 of the family's 1831-position model. The record is from RNAcentral.